Molecule: ribosomal RNA, 466 nt
Filed under: uncultured bacterium
Lineage: Bacteria
Description: bacterial SSU rRNA
Rfam family: Bacterial small subunit ribosomal RNA
Source: RNAcentral
GACGAACGCUGGCGGCGUGCUUAACACAUGCAAGUCGAACGGUGACGAGGAGCUUGCUCCUCUGAUCAGUGGCGAACGGGUGAGUAACACGUGAGCAACCUGCCCCAGACUCUGGGAUAACAGUUGGAAACAGCUGCUAAUACCGGAUACGAGACGGAGGGGGCAUCUCUACCGUCUGGAAAGUUUUCGGUCUGGGAUGGACUCGCGGCCUAUCAGCUAGUUGGUGAGGUAAUGGCUCACCAAGGCGACGACGGGUAGCCGGCCUGAGAGGGCGACCGGCCACACUGGGACUGAGACACGGCCCAGACUCCUACGGGAGGCAGCAGUGGGGAAUAUUGCACAAUGGGCGAAAGCCUGAUGCAGCGACGCCGCGUGAGGGAUGACGGCCUUCGGGUUGUAAACCUCUUUCAGCAGGGAAGAAGCGAAAGUGACGGUACCUGCAGAAGAAGCACCGGCUAACUACGUG